RNAcentral lists this unclassified non-coding RNA (252 nucleotides) under Hevea brasiliensis (rubber tree). The record is from RNAcentral. Lineage: Eukaryota; Viridiplantae; Streptophyta; Magnoliopsida; Malpighiales; Euphorbiaceae.
AUUUAGAGCUCGGUUAUUGAGUUCCAUGGGGGAACUGGUUGAUGAAUUUGUGGAAGGAAUUCGUUUGCCUCUAACCUCAGGCGGUGAUGGCAACUUCUUAGUCACUGUCGGUUUUGGCACCCCUAAACGUGAUUUUACCUUGCUUUUUGAUACCGGAAGCGGUACCACUUGGACUCAAUGCGAGCCUUGUUCUGCGGGUUGCAAUCAACAGAUCCCCAUUUUUGAUCCCUCCACAUCUUCUUCUUUUUCAAA